UAGUGAUUUUCCGGUUGAUCCUGACCGGAGGCUACCGCUAUUGGAGUUCGAUUAAGCCAUGCGAGUCGCGAGAAAUUAGAUUCUCGGCGUACCGCUCAGUAACACGUGGGUAACCUGCCCUAUGCUGGAUAAUAACCUCGGGAAACUGAGAAUAAUGAUCCAUAGUUCACUACGCCUUGGAACGGUGAGUGGAUGAAAGCUCCGGCGGCAUAGGAUGGGCCUGCGUGCGUAUCAGGUUGUAGGGGGUGUAACGUACCCUCUAGCCCUCUACGCGUACGGGUGUUGGGAGACAUAGCCCGGAGAUGGAUUCUGAGACACGAAUCCAGACCCUACGGGGUGCAGCAGGCGCGAAAACUUGGCAAUGCGAGAAAUCGUGACCAGGGAACUCCAAGUGCAUCGGGUAAGACCGGUGCUUUUCUUGACUCUAAAUAGGUCUUGGAAUAAGGGGUGGGUAAGGACGGUGCCAGCCGCCGCGGUAAUACCGGCGCCUCAAGUGGUAGUCGCUUUAUUGGGCCUAAAACGUCCGUAGCCGGUCUGAUACAUUCGUGGGUA
Molecule: ribosomal RNA, 552 nt
Filed under: uncultured archaeon
Lineage: Archaea
Description: bacterial SSU rRNA
Rfam family: Archaeal small subunit ribosomal RNA
Source: RNAcentral